This 72-nucleotide transfer RNA is filed under the name Bos taurus (domestic cattle). It matches the Rfam family "tRNA". From Rfam's summary of the family: Transfer RNA (tRNA) molecules are approximately 80 nucleotides in length. Lineage: Eukaryota; Metazoa; Chordata; Mammalia; Artiodactyla; Bovidae. RNAcentral also lists the same sequence under 1 other name. The record is from Rfam by way of RNAcentral.
UCCCUUGUGGCUCAGUUGGUAAAGAAUCUGCCUGUAAUGCAGGAGGCCCUGGUUUGAUCCCUGGAAUGGGAC